This 742-nucleotide ribosomal RNA is filed under the name uncultured archaeon. RNAcentral describes it as "bacterial SSU rRNA". It matches the Rfam family "Archaeal small subunit ribosomal RNA", at positions 29 to 771 of the family's 1478-position model. The record is from RNAcentral.
GCAAACCCGUCCGAUUUAGCCAUGCUAGUACGCACGAGUUCAUACUCGUGGCAUAUAGCUCCGUAACACGUGGCCAAACUACCCUUCGGAGACGCAUAACCUCGGGAAACUGAGGCUAAUACGUCACACGGCUUUCAGCCUGGAAUGGCGAAAGCCCGAAACGCUCCGGCGCCGAAGGAUGUGGCUGCGGCCGAUUAGGUAGACGGUGGGGUAACGGCCCACCGUGCCGAUAAUCGGUACGGGUUGUGAGAACAAGAACCCGGAGACGGAAUCUGAGACAAGAUUCCGGGCCCUACGGGGCGCAGCAGGCGCGAAACCUUUACACUGCACGCCAGUGCGAUAAGGGGACCCUGAGUGCACAGGCAUAGUGCCUGUGCUUUUCUCGACCGUAGGGAGGUCGAGGAACAAGAGCUGGGCAAGACCGGUGCCAGCCGCCGCAGUAAUACCGGCAGCUCGAGUGAUGGCCGAUCUUAUUGGGCCUAAAGCGUCCGUAGCUGGCCAGGCAAGUCCGUNGGGAAAUCCACGGGCUCAACGCGUGGGCGCCCGGCGGAAACUGCCUAGCUAGGGACCGGAAGGCGCGACAGGUACGUCUAGGGUAAGGAGUGAAAUCCCGUAAUCCUGGACGACCGNCGAUGGGGAAACCANGUCGCGAAGACGGAUCCGACAGUGAGGGANGAAAGCUAGGGUUCNAGCCGAANANAUACCCGGGGAGNUACNAACCCUUAAANNAAUGCNUGUUAAG